UCUGAAACCACUCUCUCAAACUGCAGAGCUCUUGGCUGCCCAGACAACCUGUGGCAAAAUCUCCCUUCAUUGCUGAUGGAGUUUGAGGUUCUGCUGGACUCUGGCUAUAGUGGCCUGACCAUUAGUCAAGAAAUAGUCGUGGCCUCUUGUGCUCCCUGGGUGACUCAUGGUAGAGGAGGGUAUUAGUAGGAUGGCUGUCUACACCAGCAAUUCUUACAGCAGGUCAUGGUGGAGUUCACAGGGGUGUGUACAUGUGAGAAAGAAAAGGUCUGCCUCACUCCCUGCCGUCCAACUUCCUCUAGGAAUAACAUGCUCACAACACAACUUCCUCCACUCCUCGGGUGACCGCUACUAUUCAAUUACUGCUGAGACUAGCACCAUGUAUCAAGUGAUUGACAUGGGCUAGGCGCAUUUCUUGUCUUAUUCAACUCCCAUAACAAUCUCCAGAGAACAGGGUACCAUUUCCAGAUGAGGAAAUAGAGGCUUUUAGAGGUUAAGUAAUAUGCCAAAGACCACGUAGAGUUGGUAUUCAAACUUACGCAAUCUGAGUAGGCAUCCUGUUUCUAUUUCUUUUACAAAUAAAUUCGAGUUGAGUUUCUGUCACAACCAAAAGAGUGUCAUUCAAUACAGAAAAUUAAUGUGAUGGGCAAACCAUGAAACCACAAAGCCAAAAGCAUGUUCUUCUUAAAUCAGCCAGGCACAGAAAGACAAGCAUCAUAUGUUCUCACUCAUAUGUGGGAACUAAAAAAGUGGAUCUAAUGAAGACAGAGAAUAGAUUGGUUGUUACCAGAGGCCAGGAAAGCUAGGGGAAGAAGGAAGGAGGAGA
Sapajus apella (tufted capuchin) is the source of this 826-nucleotide long non-coding RNA. RefSeq lists it as uncharacterized. The transcript has 3 exons. Lineage: Eukaryota; Metazoa; Chordata; Mammalia; Primates; Cebidae. The record is from RefSeq and is a predicted model, not a curated record.